GACGAACGCUGGCGGCGUGCUUAACACAUGCAAGUCGAACGGAAAGGCCCUGCUUUUGUGGGGUGCUCGAGUGGCGAACGGGUGAGUAACACGUGAGUAACCUGCCCUUGACUUUGGGAUAACUUCAGGAAACUGGGGCUAAUACCGGAUAGGAGCUCCUGCUGCAUGGUGGGGGUUGGAAAGUUUCGGCGGUUGGGGAUGGACUCGCGGCUUAUCAGCUUGUUGGUGGGGUAGUGGCUUACCAAGGCUUUGACGGGUAGCCGGCCUGAGAGGGUGACCGGCCACAUUGGGACUGAGAUACGGCCCAGACUCCUACGGGAGGCAGCAGUGGGGAAUAUUGCACAAUGGGCGGGAGCCUGAUGCAGCGGCGCCGCGUGCGGGAUGACGGCCUUCGGGUUGUGAACCGCUUUCGCCUGUGACGAAGCGUGAGUGACGGUAAUGGGUAAAGAAGCACCGGCUAACUACGUG
Molecule: ribosomal RNA, 468 nt
Filed under: uncultured bacterium
Lineage: Bacteria
Description: partial 16S ribosomal RNA
Rfam family: Bacterial small subunit ribosomal RNA
Source: RNAcentral